UGGCUAUACCCCCAUUUUAUUUCAGAAAUAACUAACUUGUUUUUCAUUUUGCAGAUUCAUAGGUAGAAGGAGAGGAGUCUCAGAUAAGAUUUUGGACUGGGACUUUAGACUUUUGAAUUCACACUGGAAUGAAUCAAGACUUUGGAUGGCCAUUGGGAAGUGGGACUUCUACUUCAGGCCACACUGGAAUAGAUGACACCAGACAUUCUCUCAUCAUAUACAACUGGAAAAUGAAACAAUAUUUAGAAAACAUUCAUUUGCCAAAAUUAGACAAAGGACAGAACGAGAUUCUGAUCCUGGAGAGUAAGAAAACAAACAAGGCGAUCAAGUUUUUCUUGGAAGAACUCCAAUACCGUGGUGAAAGGAGAUGGAACCCAAGCAGAGAAUGGCAGCUUGUAUUCUGACAAGCCAAGGUGAUGAGAUCUUGUUGAAAAUCCAAGGCCUUGAACAGAGGCACCAGAAUGUCACACCUUCCUUGCGUGGAUAAACUAUCUCUAGAGUGAAGGCUACUCUAGACUCAUCCUGGCAAAGCUUACACGUAAGCCUCAGAUGCUCAAGAGGAUCUAAACGUAACUUAAUUGUUUGCCAAAAUAAAUGCCUUUUAAAGAAAACUAAAAUUUAGACACCAAACAAAAUGUUUAAAUUUCUAGACAUAUGAGGAAGCAGGAAACUGUGACCCUCAAUUAAAACAAAUAAACAAACAGAAACAGGCAUGGAAGUGUCAGAUAUGAGACAUAAAUAAUGGGAUUAAGAGUUAAAAACUUUAAAACAGCUAUAAAAAUGCUAAGGACUUUAAAGAAACUUAAUGUGAGGCCAAAUUAAAGCAAUAAAAAUUACCAAAUGGGAAUUCUAUAGUUUAAAUAUACAACAUUGAGAAUUAAAAAUUCACUCAAUGGACUUAAGAGUGGAUUGACUACUACAGAAGAAAAGAACAAUGAACUUGAACACAUAUAUUAGAAACUAUCCAGUUGAAGCAGAGAAAGAGAGAAAAGGUAGGUGCAUGCACACACACACACAAAAUGAACAGAAAUUAGUGACCUGUGAGACAAUGGUAGAUAGCCUAAUAUACAUGUUACUAUGUAACUAUCUUUAAAGGGGUGGUUAGAGACUGUAACAUAUUUGACAAAAUAAUAGCUGAAAAGUUUCCAAUUUUGAUGAAAACUAUAAAUCAACAGAUUCUGGAUACCCAGCAAAUAUGUAGCAUGACAAACAUAAAGAAAACCACCUCAAGGUAUGUCAGAAUCAAAUUGAUGUAAACCAGAGAUAUUGAGAAAAUUAUAACAAAACAGAGGGAAAAAAAGGCAACAUUACAUACAAAGUAAUGAAGAUAAGAAUGACUCCUUGAAAACAAUGCAGGCCAGAGGACAAUAGAAUGAGAAUUUUCGUGUGUAGGAAAAAGGUAAUCAUCACCCUGAAAUUAUAUAUCCAGUAAAUGAAAAUGAAAAGUAAAAUGAAAGUAAAAUACAUAGAUUUUCACUUAAAAGAAGUUGAGAGAAUGAAUGGCCAGUAGAUCUGCACUGAGAGAAAUAGUAAAGAAAAUUCUUUAUGCUGAAGGAAAAUGAAAUCAGAUGGAAAUUUAAAUCAACAGAAAGAUAUGUAAAGGGAAAUAGAAUUAAUAUAUGAGUAAAUAUAAAAGAGAUUUUUCUCAAUUUAAAUGUCUUUCAAAGAUAAUUGGCUACAUAAAGCAAUAAUAAUAAUAAUAAUAAUAAUGUGUUUUAGGGUUUGUAACACUCAUAGAUGUCAACUAUAUGACCAAAAUAGUACAAAAGAUGAGAGGAAAAAAAAUGAAAGUAAGACUUAUUGGUAAAACAGUAUUAAUAUUCUUCAAAGAUAGAUUGUGAGAUUUAAGAUACAUAUUAUAAACUCAGAAGAGACCACUGGAAAGAAACUAAAAUGGUAUACCAAUCAAAACAACGGAGAAGAUAGAAUGGAACACUAAAAAUAAGUAAAAAGAGAGGUGCUAGGAAAGGAGGUAAAAAGCAAUGAAGAAUAGGUAGAAAACUAGAAAAUAAAUAGCAGAAUGGCAGAUUUUAAAAUCAGGCAAUUUGAUAUUAUUUUAAAUAUAGAUCAUGUAAAACAAAGAAUGGUUAAAAAGAAGAAACUGUCUUAAUGGAUAAUAAAGCAAAACUAAACUAUAUCAUGCUUAUAAGAAAUACAGUUUAAAAAUAAAGAUGUAGAUAUGUUAAAAGAAAAUACCAUAACCCAAGCCAAGACUAUUCUUAGGAAUGCAGGAUCCUCUGGUAGAUUUUAUUUCUGGCCAAGGUACAUUCCUGAGGCCCAGACACAUCCCUCCUAUCCCUUUGGCUUGGCAGUUUAAAAUUUCCUUAGAUUUCACCAUUCUUUAAAUGCUCGCUUUGCCCAAGCUAUUAAGAGUUGGUUUCUUUUCCAUGAGACCAAAAUCCAAGUAAUAUAGAACUUUAGGAAUGUCUCCCCAUACAGAUUAAGGCCCUAACAAAAAGAGUGUUGCCCUGGCUCAAGUCCACCACUUCUACUGUGAGAUAUGUCGAGAAUCACUUUCCUAGAUGACUGUGCUCUUAAGUCAUCACAAAUAAACCUUGUUCAUUAACACGUGAGUGGUUCGAUUUCACUUGCAGGCCUUUUUGCCUUUUGGUCCUACGGAUGGGGUAAAAAGCCAUAGAGAUUAUGGUUAGAAAAUGGUCUGAGAUGAGCUUUGACAAAUGAUGACUGGGUAAGUAAACUUCUUAUGAUGGUGAAAUUAUUUUCUAACAACACUUAAUGCAAGUGUGACAUUAAGACCAGGGCGAUUCAUCAUUAACUUAAAUAACUUAAUCUGGACCUUUUGAAGAAAAAUCAGAAGAAUACAUAAAAGGAUAAUAUUUUAAAAUAAGGUGGCUUUGAAAGAUUAAACUAGGCUGAACGAAAACUCCCAGAUAAUGAAGCCAAUUUCAAAGGCAAUAGCGGAAAUCCAGUUGAACCCUUAAAUUUUUGUUCACUUACACAAGGGAAUUUAUUGACAGAGAUUAAGAGCCAUCCUUGGUGAUGGUGUAAUCAUCUUUUCAUUUGUUGAUGGGCAGAUAAUUGCAUUUAAAUAUAAGAGUAGUAAUGCUCUAAAGCUACCCAAAGUGCAUCACAGGUGCAGCUACUAAAGCCAGCACUCCAGAAAAUGAGUGUUCCUGGGCUGUAUGCUUAUAAAGGUAGAAAUUCGGAAAGCACAUAGAAACAUAGGGAGAAAAAGAAAAUGCACACAGCCUUAUAUUCUUCUAUACUAUUAGGAAAAUAAUGGUAAUUACCUCAAAAUAUUGCUGUGAAAAUUAAGAGAGAGAAUUUAUGUUAGAAUCUGAAACAUAAGAGGCCCUCCAUAAAUGUAAGCUAUGCUUAUUAUUAAUGUGCCAUCUAGGGUCAUAUAAUAGUCUUAGUUUAACUUCCCAGCAGCAAAGGUAUGACAGUGAACAAGGUCGUACACAGGGUAACAUUGGCUCAAUCCACAGGACAGAGAGAGAUGUCCCAGUCUGGACAAGGGAGAUGGAAUAUUUACACCAUGCUUCCAUCAGUCAUUGGUUAAAAGCUACCGCUGAGGCACCUACAUUCCCAGGCAUUUCUGGCAAAGCAGAGUCUGCAGCCAGCCUGGCAGAAGUCUUUCAACAGAGACGCAGGUGCUGGCUUUGGGAGGGAAAGCACACUAGGAAUGGUGUGCACAGAAAUGGUGAAGAGAUGUGAGGGAUACGGAUGGAGCAUCUACUACAAUUUCCUUUCAGUUUCUUUUCUCUGCUUAUGUUGUUUGUUUAUAUAGUUGAAAGAACAUUAUAAAAUACAUUAUAUUCCUCAUGGAAUGUAAUAUCCACAGUGGAAGAACUUUCUGGUUUUUGGUUUUUGGUUUCAUCCCUGGUAGUACUCCUUGACCUGGAACAGUGACAUGGCUGGCAUUCAAUAAAUAUUUGUUGAAUAAA
Macaca mulatta (Rhesus monkey) is the source of this 3908-nucleotide non-coding RNA. NCBI's taxonomy places the organism in Eukaryota, Metazoa, Chordata, Mammalia, Primates, Cercopithecidae. The record is from RefSeq and is a predicted model, not a curated record.